Molecule: ribosomal RNA, 331 nt
Filed under: Hormonotus modestus (Uganda house snake)
Lineage: Eukaryota; Metazoa; Chordata; Lepidosauria; Squamata; Lamprophiidae
Description: partial 12S ribosomal RNA
Source: RNAcentral
UAAAAACUUAAAAUUUAAAAGACUUGACGGUACUUCACAACAACCUAGAGGAGCCUGUCUAAUAACCGAUAACCCACGAUUAACCCAACCUCCCCUAGCCACACAGUCUAUAUACCGCCGUCGCCAGUUCACCUCAUGAGAGAAACAUAGUGAACUAAAUAGUACAAAAACUAAUACGACAGGUCGAGGUGUAACUUAUGAGGAGGACUCAGAUGGGCUACAUUUUCUAAAUCAGAAAACACGAACUAACCAUGAAAACAGAAACUGAAGGAGGAUUUAGUAGUAAGAUAAGAACAUAAUACUUAACUGAACUCACUGCAAUGAAGUACGC